Molecule: ribosomal RNA, 2253 nt
Filed under: Triticum aestivum (bread wheat)
Lineage: Eukaryota; Viridiplantae; Streptophyta; Magnoliopsida; Poales; Poaceae
Description: partial small subunit ribosomal RNA
Source: RNAcentral
AUGCCACCAAGGAACCAAGCUCCUCGCAACCCGCCCAACAAUGGCAAGGGUCGUGUGAACCAUGUCACUGCAGAAGAAGCCCAGGAAGACCCAGAUGUCGUGUUGGGUACGUUCCUUGUCAACUCAGCACCUGCAACUGUCUUGUUUGAUUCUGGAGCCACGCAUUCAUUUGUCACCCAAAAGUUUGCAUUAAAAAGUGGCAUGACCCCUACACCCCUGAAUAACCCUAUGGUGGUACAAAUCCCCAGAGCAGAGAUGAGAGCCAAGGUAGGCUGUAAGGGAGUCGGAAUUGUCAUUAACGGGGUAGACUUCCUAGCAGACCUUAUCGUCUUAAGAUCACAAGCCUUGUAUGUGAUCUUAGGAAUGAAUUGGCUCAUCAAGCACCAAGGCUUGUUAGAUUGUGCCAACCCGACUGUCACUGUGACCAAUGACCAAGGAGUUGAAGUUAAGUUUGCUUCCAACCCCUCGCCUGCUCAAGACGCCCAAGUCAACUGUCUGACUGAAGUUGGGUUGGAGCAAGUGCCGGUAGUAUGCGAAUACCCCGAUGUCUUUCCUGAUGAGCUACCGGGAAUGCCUCCUGACCGAGACAUUGAGUUCAUCAUCGAGCUCACGCCCGGAGCAAGACCCAUCUAUAAGAAGGCUUAUAGAAUGGGAUCGGAGGAGUUAGCAGAAUUAAAGAAGCAACUAGAAGAGCAGUUGAGGAAGGGAUUUAUCCGCCCUAGUGCCUCCCCUUGGGGAUCACCUAUUCUGUUUGUGGCAAAGAAGGACGGUACCAUCCGCUUGUGCAUUGACUAUCGCUCCCUCAAUGAAGUUACAAUCAAGAACAAGUAUCCACUUCCCAAGAUUGAAGAUCUGUUUGAUCAACUCAGUGGGGACAAGGUGUUCUCCAAGAUUGACCUCAGAUCUGGGUACUACCAGCUAAAAAUUAGACCCCAAGAUAUUCCAAAGACGGCAUUUGUAACCAGAUAUGGCCUGUAUGAGUGCACAGUCAUGUCCUUUGGAUUGACAAUUGCCCCAGCUUACUUCAUGUAUCUCAUGAAUAAGGUCUUCAUGGAAUAUUUGGACAAGUUUGUUGUCGUCUUCAUUGAUGACAUUCUUGUCUUCUCGAAGACGGAAGAAGAGCACGAACAACACUUGAGGUUGGUCCUAGACAAGCUUCGAGAGCACCAACUGUACUGCAAGUUCAGCAAGUGCGAAUUUUGGCUGCAUGAAGUUGAAUUCUUGGGUCAAGCCGUGACUGAAUGGCAAACCCCGAGCAAUGUGAAGGAAGUCAGAAGCUUCCUCGGACUCGCGGGAUAUUACCGCAAGUUCGUUGAAGGAUUCUCCAGCAUUGCCCGACCCAUGACCCAGCUCUUGAAGAAGGACAAGAAGUUUGAGUGGACGCCGAAGUGCAAAGAAAGAUUCCAGGAGCUAAAGAAGAAAUUAACCACCGCCCCAGUUCUGGCCACACCUGAUAUUCACAAGGAAUUUGUGAUAUAUUGUGAUGCCUCACGAACCGGACUGGGAAGUGUUCUGAUGCAAGAGGGCAGAGUCGUAGCUUACCUUUCAAGACAACUACGUCCUCAUGAUGAGAACUAUGCUACUCAUGAUCUUGAGUUAGCAGUAGUGGUUCAUGCCUUGAAGACAUGGCGACAUUACCUCCUAGGGAAGCGGUGUGAGAUAUACACGGAUCACAAAAGUCUCAAGUAUAUUUUCACUCAAAAGGAAUUUAACAUGAGGCAGAGAAGAUGGCUAGAAUUGAUCAUGGAUUAUGGCCUCAGUGUUCAAUACCAUCGCGGAAAGGCUAAUGUGGUAUCAGAUGCAUUAAGCAGAAAUGCUUGUUCCUUCAACGCUAUGAUUAAGGAAAGGCUACCCGCAUUGUAUGAGGAACUUGAAAGCUUCGGAUUGGAACUGGUUCAACCAGGAUUCUUGGCCAACCUCGAAGUCAAGCCUACCCUGGUGGAUGAUGUUAAGGAAGCUCAGAAGGGACACGGGAGUAUUGAAGGCAUCAAGAGGAAGGUCAAGGAAGGCAAGGCCCCAGGAUUCUCAGAGGAUGAGCAAGGGAUUGUGUGGUUUGGGAAUCGCAUUUUCGUACCCAACAAGUCUGAGCUCAAAAACUUGAUCUUGCAAGAGGCUCAUGACACCCCAUAUUCCAUCCACCCCGGAGGAACCAAGAUGUAUCAAGACCUAAAGGAAAGAUUUUGGUGGCAUGGCAUGAAGAGAGAGAUAGCCACUUUUGUCGUGGAAUUGUCACGGCAGAUGUCCUCGGGUUAG